AAUGAAGUCUUUAAGAAGCCCUCUCUGGAUAUCAGUUUCUGGCUGCAGUUCCUACAACCCAGCUGUCAGUGAAGGCCCCACUCAUAGGAUAAGUGAAAAUAAGAAUCGAACUCCCAACUUGGGGAGAAAGGUUGAAGGACUUCCCCAGGGCUUAAAGAAGAAUCAAAGUCAGGAGCUGCAAUGGACAGAAGUGCUUUCCUCCCCCCACCUGCAAUCCUAGAAGUGGUUUCCAUGGGAGAAAAAUCAAAAGCUUCUGUCAACUGCAAUGUGACUUCCACCCCUCACCACUCAACCAACCCUCUCCUCCAAGCUUACCUGGUGUCACAGCAGGGGCCCUGCUCUGGGGCCAGACUGCCUUGUUCAAGUCUCAGAUGUACCUUCUGACUCUAUGGCUCUGGACAAACUAUUUAAUAUUCCUGCCUCUGUUUCCUCAUCCACUGACAGUAAUAACAGUACCUUUCUUAAAGGACUUCUGUGAAGGCAGAAUGUGCCAACAGGUGUAAGGAACUUAGAAUUACACUUGGCACAUAGGAAGCUGUUUAUACAUAUUAGUAUUCCCUGUUAUUUAUUUCCUAAACUGCUAUUAAUGUAAUAUACAUCCAAAAAUUGCAUAAAAUAUCGAUGUGUAUCAUAAUGAAUAAUUAUAAAGUAAACUCCGUGAAGCUUCCUGCUGGUCCCUGCUUUAUCUGACCCUUCUUUAUUUGUAUUCUUCUUUUCUAGAUAUCACUUCCCUGUUUUUUCUAAUAGUUUUGUCACUGACAUAUAUAUCCCCAAACAGAGAACUUUAAUUUUACAAUUGUUUUCCCUUUAAACCCCUAUGUGAUGAUGAAAUUUUACAUGUUUAUAAAAC
This is a long non-coding RNA of Nycticebus coucang (slow loris), 850 nucleotides long. RefSeq lists it as uncharacterized. Lineage: Eukaryota; Metazoa; Chordata; Mammalia; Primates; Lorisidae. The transcript is spliced from 3 exons. The record is from RefSeq and is a predicted model, not a curated record.